AUUGAACGCUGGCGGCAGGCUUAACACAUGCAAGUCGAGCGGGGUGAUGGUGCUUGCACUAUCACUUAGCGGCGGACGGGUGAGUAAUGCUUAGGAAUCUGCCUAUUAGUGGGGGACAACAUCUCGAAAGGGAUGCUAAUACCGCAUACGUCCUACGGGAGAAAGCAGGGGAUCACUUGUGACCUUGCGCUAAUAGAUGAGCCUAAGUCGGAUUAGCUAGUUGGUGGGGUAAAGGCCUACCAAGGCGACGAUCUGUAGCGGGUCUGAGAGGAUGAUCCGCCACACUGGGACUGGAGCACGGCCCAGACUCCUACGGGAGGCAGCAGUGGGGAAUAUUGGACAAUGGGGGGAACCCUGAUCCAGCCAUGCCGCGUGUGUGAAGAAGGCCUUAUGGUUGUAAAGCACUUUAAGCGAGGAGGAGGCUCUUUUGGUUAAUACCCAAGAUGAGUGGACGUUACUCGCAGAAUAAGCACCGGCUAACUCUGUGCCAGCAGCCGCGGUAA
RNAcentral lists this ribosomal RNA (503 nucleotides) under uncultured bacterium. RNAcentral describes it as "partial 16S ribosomal RNA". It matches the Rfam family "Bacterial small subunit ribosomal RNA", at positions 30 to 523 of the family's 1533-position model. The record is from RNAcentral.